Molecule: unclassified non-coding RNA, 242 nt
Filed under: Hevea brasiliensis (rubber tree)
Lineage: Eukaryota; Viridiplantae; Streptophyta; Magnoliopsida; Malpighiales; Euphorbiaceae
Source: RNAcentral
CUCUCUUUCUUCAGCAUUGAUUAAAUCUGACAUUUUUGUUCAUCUUGGUUUUUGGUUUGUCUUUGCUUUUUCAUUUUUUAAUAAAUUAGAUGCGAGAAAUAGUUAGCUGGAUUAAUGCAAUCAGUAGCCAAGUCAGCUUGUGACACCAACUACUGGAUUUAUUGAAAAUUGAGCUGCAGACUUGGAUUGUCUUUAAAUUUUGGUGUACUUUAAUCACGUGUGUUGGCUGAAGAAACAGAAGG